UCUGAAUACAGCCUGUGUGCUCAGCUCUUUCUAGAGAAGCCCGCCUGGCCUGGCAGGUGUAUUCUCUCCAUUAAACUAUUAACCUUGCUACCCGAGACUGAACUGGCACUCUCUCUCUCUCUCUCUCUCUCUCUCUCUCUCUCUCUCUCUCGGAUUCCAUCUGCUGAAGUGCUCACCCAUUCUGACAGAUGCCCUACCCCCAUUAAACUCUGCUGCCUUGCCUGUCACUCCUCUGGUCUCGUGGAAGAACCUACUCUACCCGUCUGCACUAGCACUUUCGGCAGAGCCAGCCAAGAGAGAAGAGAACCAGCGGUGAGGUGAGUUCUGAGCCAUGGCGCCCUGAGGAAUGUUCCACCUCCAGCUUACUUCCCCCUUUUCCUGUUUGCUACCCCUCCUCCCUAGUGUCAAGAAGAGAGGGGGGAUAACUCAGGCUACAGCUGGCCAGACAGGUUUCCCCACCUGAGCAAGAGAGAGGCCUUGCUCCAUUAACCCUUUCCAACCUGACAGACCUUGUCUCCCUUCUCUGCAGUUUAUGGUGACUUUUUCCCUGUCUCUUGACAGCAGGCAUGUCUGAGUCUCCACUCUGUUUCACGAUGUAUUUAGCCGUCCUAAGUAAUGGGCUCAGAUGCUGAUAAUCAAGGUUUUCCUGUGAUGCUGUAAUUGACCCGGGUCAUGAGAGUUUAAUAUGUCCUGGGGAAGGUUUCCUGCAUUAUUCUGUUGCCCUUAUUGAACCUUGAUUGUUUGGGAGAACUGAGUCUGACGGGAGUUAAUGUUAUCUGCCUAUUUCCUUAACUUUGAUUGGAUCUGGUCCACAGCUUCAGUUAAAAUAUUCUUGUGCAAAGACAAGAACCAGUCCCACCCAUCUCGGAUAACAGAGCCUAGACCCCAAGGCAUGUGGUGACACCCCAGGGGGCCCUGGCGAGAUGCUCAGCAGGUCUGUGCAUGAUUUGCCUCAGCAUCAACAUACUGAACGCAGACUCCCAGGCCCUGGCAGCGAUCUGCAUUGGACGAGCUUCCCAGAAGGCCGGCCUGAGGAUCAGCCUGGAGACCUGCAGAGCCCAGGGUGGGAAGACGAGGCAGAGCUCCUGAGGAGACAGAGAGAAGAAGGACACACAGCUAGCAGGAGAGGGAGCUCCGCGAACUUGGCCGUGAGCUGCUGGUCCCCAGCCACAGCUGAGCCGUGUCUCUCAGAACAGGGGAACUCCCAGGUCUCUGCUGAAAUCUGGAGUGACCUGCCUCGUCCUGCCGUGCCCUGCUGCCAGAGACCCCCGGGGUGGAAGUGCUAUUCUCCACGUGGUGACUUCUGGAAACAGGACCUGUGCUUCUCAACGCAUCCCUCCCAUGGCAGGUCUAGGCAGCUCUCGUUCUUGCAAGAAAACAAACACUGUAAAAAAAUGAUCACUGAACUUUUGGAAAGCCUUGGCUGCGAUGAAUAAAACAGGAAGCAUUUGGUGGCAGGGGUGGAGAGGAAACGGUGCUCUCCUCACGGGGUGGUCGGUGACCCACUCUUCCAAGGAGGUGAUGAGAGUGCUCUGGCCCUAGACACACUGAGGGUGUUUCAAGCGGAAGGAAGAACAAAUGCGGGGCAGGCACUGUGGUAUAGCAGGUGAAGCUGUUGCCUGCAACGCCGGCAUCCCAUAUGGGCAUCAGUUUGAGUCCUGGCUGCUCCACUUCCAAUCCAGCUCUCUGCUAUGGCCUGGGAAAGCAAGGGAAGAUGGCCCAAGUCUUUGGGAAGACCUGGAGGAAGCUCCUGUCUCCUGGCGUCAUAUCAGCGCAGCUCUGGCCGUUGUGGCCAAUUGGGGAGUGAACCAGCAGAUGGAAGACCUCUCUCUCCCUCUGCCUCUCCUUCUCCCUCUGCCUCUCCUUCUCUCUCUGCCUCUCCUCUCUCUGUGUGUGUAACUCUGACUUUCAAGUAAAUAAGUCUUCAAAAAAAAAAAAUAACAAUGCAGAAAUCCUGUGGUAGGACAAGUGAGAGUGCUCAAGAACAGAAGGCUGGGAAAAGGGGACUCAGAAUGAAGCAGUUGGGGAGGGAGGUGGGAGCUCUAGGCCAGGGUAAGGAGCUGGGAAGCCAGCAGAGGGUUUUAGACAAGAAAGCUACAUAGUGUAACUUACAUUGACAAAAUCUUGCACCUGCUGUUUUUGGAGGAUCAACUAUAGACACAAGGAGACACCAGGAGAUCCUUGGGGAGGUGCUCAUAGCAUGGACUCAAAAGAUGGUUCCAAUGCCCCCUGGAGGCAGAGGAAUAUGAGAGAUGAAUGGGGUGGGGGUGAUGCUGAGUUACAUGGAAAGAUGGAGGAGAUUAGGGCUGGCUGGGCAGAAAGAAGGCAUUGGUUCCGGACGGGAUGAGCUGGAGGUGCCUGCUGGCAUCCGAGAUAAGCCAAGUCCUCCAGCAAGAGGAAGUCACACCAGUGUGCCAGGCCCAGGCCUGCAGUGGCUGCUCCUGCCCCCCAUCCUUCUGUCUGGGUGCAGCCUUGACCCCAGCACCACCUGCAGCUGGGAAGGCUUCCAGCCUCACCUAGGCAGCCUCGGGCAGGAUGUGACGCACUCACCAGCAAGCAAGUUCAGGAGGGAUUCAGGGCACUGCACAGGGCAUCUGGCCCCUGUGUGACCUUCACAGGCCCAACUCUCUUUCUGGAAAAAUGCCAAGGACACUGCAGGUCAAUCCGACAUUGGCAGUGGCGCCGCGGUCUUGCUUUGCUGUGUUAGGGAAAGCAGCGAAGUCUUCAGUGCUCUUUACCUCCUGCGUGCAUGUGUGUGUGUGCAUGUGUGCACACGUGUGCAUUGUGCAUGUGUAUGCAUGUGUGUGCAUACGUGCAAAUGUGCAUGUGUAUCUCCUCACCUUGCUGUAGUUACAAAAGUACAAUUAGAGCUGUCAGCGGGGAACAGCCUCGGGUGAAAAGUUCCCCUCCACUCUGACUUGAGGCUGCUCGUGGCACAUCCCACAGCAGUCACUGCUUGGACAGCAGAGCUGGUGGGGGUGGGCAGAGAGGCCGUGGGCAGAGGGCUGGCUCCAUAGAACACAGGAGGUCCCCACCCUGCACACUGUGGGGGCUGAGGGGCGGGGGCUUCCUCUGCUUCAGCUCAGAUGAGGAAGCAGUGGGAACUGGUGAGCUGCAUGCAGGCAUCCCUGGCUUGCUCCUCCUACACAUUCGGCCCAGGCACAGUUUGCAGGCCAUGUGGCAGAAAGUCCACAAUUGCUGUGCUGCUGGAAACCAAAAAGAGACCGUUUUCCAGAAGUGGGGGCUGUGACGGGCUCUUGGUGGGACCUUGGCCAUGUCUGACACGGGACUCUCUGCACUUUAAGGAAAUUGCAUUGCAUAAAAUUCAAGGAGCUCCAGAGCUCGCAGCUACUGUAGAAAUCACGUUCGUGCCCACCCAGGGAUGCCAAAAAGAAAAAAAAAAAAAAAGAUCAUGUGGUUCAAUGCCUUCAUUGCUACUACAAAGCAGACACAGGAAAGACAGAUGACAAUCCCCGAGUCAUGACAAAGACAGAGCAAGGAUCACUUUCCCGACCUUCAGCCAGGCUGAGUGGCACGUGGAGCCCUUCACUGCUGAGUGGGGGGUUCUCUGAGCCUUCUAGGCUCCUGGAGGAAUGUUUGCACCAGCCCUGGGAGAGAGGGACAGGGCUGCUCUCAGCAGGAGGUAACCUGCCUGAGGACCCCUGCCACAGCAGCCCGGCUGGGCUUCAGCACCCACUAGCGUGUUCUGUGUAUGUGGGGCCGGGGGUGCUGUGUUAACAGUGGCAUAUGUGCACCUUUGCAUGAUCACAAAAUUCCCGCCAGCAGCUCCACUGUACCCUGUCUGGGUGGCUUCUAAGAAUCUGUUAUUAGAAGAGAGGAAGGGGGUGGGGGUAGUGAACAAAGAGAAGCAGGUGUGCAAAAGACACUCUGUGCAGCAUCUAGUUUCUGGAUGGAAAAGACUAAACAUGAUUUUAGUGCUUAAAUAAGGGCAGAAGCAGCACAGAUAGAAUGAGUAAGAAAUGUCCUCACUUGACAGUUUUGAGAUCCUUUUAAAAUCUUUUAAAUACUUGCAGCCGGCACUUUGGCAUAGCAGAUAAACCCGCAUCCUGCAGUGCCAGCAUCUCAUAUGGACACCAAUUUGAGUCCUGGCUGCUUCACUUCCGAUCCAGCUCUCUGCUGUGGCCUAGGGAAGCAGUGGAAGAUGGCCCAAGUCCUUGGGUCCCUGCACCCACUUGGGAGACCCAGAAGGAACUCCUGGCUCCUGGCUUCAGAUCAGCCCAGCUCCGGCUGUUGCAGCCAUCUGGGGAGUGAACCAGAGGAUAGAAGAUUUCUCUCUCUGUCUCUCUGUAAUGCUGCUUUUCAAAUAAAAUAAAUAGAUCUUUUAAAAA
Oryctolagus cuniculus (rabbit) is the source of this 4349-nucleotide non-coding RNA. The record is from RefSeq and is a predicted model, not a curated record. NCBI's taxonomy places the organism in Eukaryota, Metazoa, Chordata, Mammalia, Lagomorpha, Leporidae.